This 3038-nucleotide ribosomal RNA is filed under the name Pseudomonadota bacterium. Its description in RNAcentral is "Proteobacteria bacterium (activated sludge metagenome) 23S ribosomal RNA". It matches the Rfam family "Bacterial large subunit ribosomal RNA". The record is from RNAcentral. Lineage: Bacteria; Pseudomonadati; Pseudomonadota.
GGUCAAGCUACUAAGGGCGCACGGUGGAUGCCUUGGUGCCGAGAGGCGACGAAGGACGCGGUAAGCUGCGAUAAGCCUCGGGGAGCCGCAAGCAGGCUUUGAUCCGGGGGUUUCCGAAUGGGGCAACCCACCAAGUCUGUGGCUGAAUUCAUAGGCCACGGGCGGUGAACGAGGGGAACUGAAACAUCUCAGUACCCUCAGGAAAAGAAAUCAAAAGAGAUUCCCCAAGUAGUGGCGAGCGAACGGGGAAUAGCCCAAACCAAUUCUGCGUGAUAGCCCGCCGGCGUUGCAGAGUUGGGGUUGUGGGGCCUUUUCGGGCAAAUGGCGGUUUGCCCAGGGAGUUACAAAAGCAGUGUAUAGCCGAAGCCGUCUGGAAAGGCGCGCCGCAGCGGGUGACAGCCCCGUAGGCGAAAUGCAAUGCUCUCCCUAAAGUGUCCCCGAGUACCACGAGGCCGGAGAAACCUCGUGGGAAGCUGGGAGCACCAUCUUCCAAGGCUAAAUACUACUCGGCAACCGAUAGUGAACUAGUACCGUGAGGGAAAGGUGAAAAGAACCCCCGCUAGGGGAGUUAAAAGAACCUGAAACCGUGUGCCUACAAACAGUGGGAGCACUAUGGCCGGUCCUUCGGGACCGGCAAGGUGUGACUGCGUACCUUUUGCAUAAUGAGCCUGCGAGUUACGUUCCGUGGCGAGGUUAAGCCGUUAGGUGGAGCCGUAGCGAAAGCGAGUCCUAAUUGGGCGUCCAGUCGCGGGGCGUAGACACGAAACCGAGUGAUCUAUCCAUGGCCAGGAUGAAGCGCGGGUAAAACCGCGUGGAGGUCCGAACUCACUAAGGUUGAAAACUUAGGGGAUGAGCCGUGGAUCGGAGUGAAAGGCUAAUCAAACUCGGAGAUAGCUUGUUCUCCCCGAAAGCUAUUUAGGUAGUGCCUCGGGAAUUUCAGCGGCGGAGGUAGAGCACUGGAUGGGCUAGGGGUCCGCUAGGAUUACCAAACCCAACCAAACUCCGAAUGCCGCCGACUGUGACCCCGGGAGACAGACUACGGGAGCUAAGUUCCGUGGUCAAAAGGGAAAGAGCCCAGAUCGCCAGCUAAGGUCCCAAAAUCCGCGCUAAGUGGAGAAGGAUGUGGAAGCGCUGAGACAGCCAGGAGGUUGGCUUAGAAGCAGCCAUCUUCUAAGGAAAGCGUAAUAGCUCACUGGUCGAGUGAGUCCGCGCCGAAAAUAUAACGGGGCUCAAGCGUGGUACCGAAGCUGCGGGUUCAGUUGAUGCCUUCGGGCGUCCUGAGCGGUAGGGGAGCACUGUAGUCGCCUGUGAAGCCGUACCGUAAGGAGCGGUGGAGGGUCUACAGGAGCUAAUGCAGGCAUGAGUAGCGAUAAAUGGAGUGAGAAACUCCAUCGCCGUAAGCCUAAGGUUUCCUGGGUAAAGCUAAUCUGCCCAGGGUUAGUCGGUCCCUAAGGCGAGGCUGAAAAGCGUAGCUGAUGGGAAACAGGUUAAUAGUCCUGUACCACUACGGAUGAUUUCCGCAGGAGGGACGGAGAAGGAUAGCCCAUCCCCAUAUUGGCUUGUCCCUUCGGGGACGGGGUUCAAACUUGUAGGGGGGCGCUCUAGGACCCUUCGGGACAAACGGAGCGCCAUUACCCCGAGAAGCGAUGAGGAGGAGCCAGAAGGCUCCACAAACUGGGUAAUUCCAUGCUUCCGAGAAAAGCUCCGGCGGAGUUAAUCGCUGUGGUGACCGUACCGUAAUCCGACACAGGUAGGCGGGGAGAGUAUCCCAAGGCGCUUGAGACAACCCUGGCUAAGGAACUCGGCAAAAUGACACCGUAACUUCGGGAGAAGGUGUGCCUUGGGCGGUGAUGGUCCUUGCGGCCUGAGCCGUCCGAGGUUGCAGAGAAACGGGGGUAGCGACUGUUUAUCAAAAACACAGGACUCUGCUAAGCCGCAAGGCGACGUAUAGGGUCUGACGCCUGCCCGGUGCUGGAAGGUUAAGGGGAGCUGUUAGCUCUUUCGGGAGCGAAGCUGCGAACCGAAGCCCCAGUAAACGGCGGCCGUAACUAUAACGGUCCUAAGGUAGCGAAAUUCCUUGUCGGGUAAGUUCCGACCUGCACGAAUGGCGUAACGACUUCCCCGCUGUCUCGGCCAGGGACUCAGCGAAAUUGACAUGGGGGUGAAGAUGCCCUCUACCCGCGGCAAGACGGAAAGACCCCGUGAACCUUUACUACAACUUGGCACUGAUUUUCGGGUUAAUCUGUGUAGGAUAGGUGGGAGGCUUUGAGACCGGGACGCUAGUUUCGGUGGAGCCAACGUUGAAAUACCACCCUGAUUGAUCUGGAAAUCUAACCUAGACCCGUUAUCCGGGUCGGGGACAAUGCCUGGUGGGUAGUUUGACUGGGGCGGUCACCUCCGAAACAGUAACGGAGGUGCGCGAAGGUCCUCUCAGCCUGAUUGGAAACCAGGCGCAGAGUGCAAUGGCAUAAGAGGGCUUGACUGCGAGACUUACUAGUCGAGCAGGUGCGAAAGCAGGUCAUAGUGAUCCGGUGGUUCCGCAUGGAAGGGCCAUCGCUCAACGGAUAAAAGGUACUCCGGGGAUAACAGGCUGAUCUCGCCCAAGAGUUCACAUCGACGGCGAGGUUUGGCACCUCGAUGUCGGCUCAUCGCAUCCUGGGGCUGAAGUAGGUCCCAAGGGUUUGGCUGUUCGCCAAUUAAAGCGGUACGCGAGCUGGGUUCAGAACGUCGCAAGACAGUUCGGUCCCUAUCUGCCGUGGGCGCAGGAUUGCUGAGGAGAUCUGUCCUUAGUACGAGAGGACCGGGAUGGACUGACCUCUAGUGUUCCGGUUGUUCUGCCAAGAGCAUUGCCGGGUAGCUAUGUCGGGAAGGGAUAACCGCUGAAAGCAUCUAAGCGGGAAGCCCACUCCAAGAUAAGCAAUCCCUUGACCUUCGGGUCGCUAAAGGCCACUGGAAGACCACCAGUUUGAUAGGCUGGGUGUGGAAGUGCAGUAAUGCAUGGAGCUAACCAGUACUAAUCGGCCGUGCGGCUUGACCAU